Molecule: ribosomal RNA, 816 nt
Filed under: alpha proteobacterium SCGC AAA288-I21
Lineage: Bacteria; Pseudomonadati; Pseudomonadota; Alphaproteobacteria
Description: SSU rRNA
Rfam family: Bacterial small subunit ribosomal RNA
Source: RNAcentral
ACGACGCUGGCGGCACGCCUAACACAUGCAAGUCGAACGCAGUAGCAAUACUGAGUGGCGAACGGGUGAGUAUAAUGUAGGUAUCUGCCUUUUGGUUUGGAAUAACACGAGGAAACUUGUGCUAAUACCGGAUAAGCCUUCACAGGGAAAGUUUUAACGCCAAAAGAUGAGCCUGCACUUGAUUAGCUAGUUGGUAAGGUAAUGGCUUACCAAGGCUACGAUCAAUAGCUGUUCUUAGAGGAAGAUCAGCCACAUUGGGACUGAGACACGGCCCAAACUCCUACGGGAGGCAGCAGUGGGGAAUAUUGCACAAUGGGGGAAACCCUGAUGCAGCGAUGCCGCGUGAGUGAAGAAGGCCUUUGGGUUGUAAAGCUCUUUCGUCGGGGAAGAAAAUGACUGUACCCGAAUAAGAAGGUCCGGCUAACUUCGUGCCAGCAGCCGCGGUAAUACGAAGGGACCUAGCGUAGUUCGGAAUUACUGGGCUUAAAGAGCUCGUAGGUGGUUAGAAAAGUUGGUGGUGAAAUCCCAAGGCUUAACCUUGGAACUGCCAUCAAAACUUUUUAACUAGAGUAUGAUAGAGGAAAGUGGAAUUUCUAGUGUAGAGGUGAAAUUCGUAGAUAUUAGAAAGAACACCAAUUGCGAAGGCAGCUUUCUGGAUCAUUACUGACACUGAGGAGCGAAAGCAUGGGUAGCGAAGAGGAUUAGAUACCCUCGUAGUCCAUGCUGUAAACGAUGUGUGCUAGACGUUGGAAAUUUAUUUUUCAGUGUCGCAGCAAAAGCGAUAAGCACACCGCCUGGGGAGUACGACCGCAAGUA